RNAcentral lists this unclassified non-coding RNA (339 nucleotides) under soil metagenome. RNAcentral describes it as "partial contains 5.8S ribosomal RNA, internal transcribed spacer 2, and large subunit ribosomal RNA". The stretch from base 1 to 120 matches the Rfam family "5.8S ribosomal RNA", at positions 35 to 154 of the family's 154-position model. The record is from RNAcentral.
GAUGAAGAACGCAGUGAAAUGCGAUAAGUAAUGUGAAUUGCAGAAUUCCGUGAAUCAUCGAAUCUUUGAACGCACAUUGCGCCCCCUGGUAUUCCGGGGGGCAUGCCUGUCCGAGCGUCAUUGCAACCCUCAAGCGCGGCUUGUGUGUUGGGCUUCGUCCCCCCGUGGACGUGCCCGAAAGGCAGUGGCGGCGUCCCGAAUGGUGCCCGAGCGUAUGGGAACUCUCUUCCGCUCGAACCGGCCCAUUCGGCGCUGGUCGAACCCCAAUUGUUUUUUACCGGUUGACCUCGGAUCAGGUAGGGAUACCCGCUGAACUUAAGCAUAUCAAUAAGCGGAGGA